ACACCUCAACUCUCAUGGUUUGCCAUGAUGAGCUUGGACUUUGGGGGUCUUGCUGGCCUAUGGUCGGCUCCUCUCAAAUGAAUCAGCUUGCCAGUGUUUGGUGGCGUCACAAGUGUGAUAACUAUCUACGCUUGUGGUUUUCCGCCAGAUGACCUUCAGCAAUGGAGGUCCACUGGAGCUCAUAAAUGUCUCUCCCCAGUGAGGACAGCUCUUUGAAU
Molecule: unclassified non-coding RNA, 218 nt
Filed under: uncultured Thelephoraceae
Lineage: Eukaryota; Fungi; Basidiomycota; Agaricomycetes; Thelephorales; Thelephoraceae
Description: sequence contains ITS2
Source: RNAcentral